UUGAAUAAUAAUCUCCGAGCCAGAAUGACCUAAAGAGCAAAUCCAUGGUCGCUGGACAGGACCUAAGGUCCUCAGGGUGUUCCUGGAAACGGGUAUGCCUUCACUAUUGAAAAGGAGGCGGCUAGGCCAGCUA
This 133-nucleotide non-coding RNA is filed under the name Desulfosporosinus sp. RNAcentral's name for it is "MoCo sequence". It matches the Rfam family "Molybdenum/Tungsten riboswitch aptamer (Moco RNA motif)". The record is from RNAcentral. Lineage: Bacteria; Bacillati; Bacillota; Clostridia; Eubacteriales; Desulfitobacteriaceae.